This 291-nucleotide ribosomal RNA is filed under the name uncultured prokaryote. RNAcentral describes it as "partial 16S ribosomal RNA". It matches the Rfam family "Bacterial small subunit ribosomal RNA", at positions 505 to 796 of the family's 1533-position model. The record is from RNAcentral.
GUGUCAGCAGCCGCGGUAAUACGUAGGGGGCUAGCGUUGUCCGGAAUCAUUGGGCGUAAAGGGUUCGUAGGCGGUAAUACAUGUCAGAUGUGAAAUCUUGUGGCUUAACCACAUCAAGCAUCUGAAACUGUAUAACUUGAGUGAAGGAGAGGUAAGUGGAAUUCCUAGUGUAGCGGUGAAAUGCGUAGAUAUUAGGAAGAAUACCAGUAGCGAAGGCGACUUACUGGCCUUUAACUGACGCUGAGGAACGAAAGCGUGGGUAGCAAACAGGAUUAGAUACCCCAGUAGUCC